UACGUAGGGGCCUAGCGUUGUCCGGAAUUAUUGGGCGUAAAGAGCUCGUAGGCGGUGCGGUAAGUCUGUUGUGAAAUCUCCGGGCUCAACUCGGAGUCUGCAUCAGAAACUGCCGUGCUGGAGUGUGGGAGAGGUGAGUGGAAUUCCCGGUGUAGCGGUGAAAUGCGUAGAGAUCGGGAGGAACACCUGCGGCGAAAGCGGCUCACUGGACCAUAACUGACGCUGAUGCACGAAAGCUAGGGGAGCAAACAGG
This 253-nucleotide ribosomal RNA is filed under the name uncultured bacterium. Its description in RNAcentral is "partial 16S ribosomal RNA". It matches the Rfam family "Bacterial small subunit ribosomal RNA", at positions 524 to 776 of the family's 1533-position model. The record is from RNAcentral.